Non-coding RNA from Picea glauca (white spruce), 123 nucleotides. NCBI's taxonomy places the organism in Eukaryota, Viridiplantae, Streptophyta, Pinopsida, Pinales, Pinaceae. The record is from Rfam.
AUGUACAUUCCUACAAAUUAGUGUUAAUGCACUGGAUCCCAUUAGAAAUUCGCAGUUAAGCGCGCUUGGUCUAGAGUAGUACUGCGAUGGGUGAUUGCCUGAGAAGUCCUAGUAUUUUACAUG